This 435-nucleotide ribosomal RNA is filed under the name uncultured bacterium. Its description in RNAcentral is "partial 16S ribosomal RNA". It matches the Rfam family "Bacterial small subunit ribosomal RNA", at positions 28 to 507 of the family's 1533-position model. The record is from RNAcentral.
GAUGAACGCUGGCGGUAUGCUUAACACAUGCAAGUCGAACGGACUCUUCGGAGUUAGUGGCGGACGGGUGAGUAACGCGUGAGAAUCUGGCUUUGGGUUCGGGACAACCACUGGAAACGGUGGCUAAUACCGGAUGUGCCGAGAGGUAAAAGAGAAAUUGCCUGAAGAUGAGCUCGCGUCUGAUUAGCUAGUUGGUGAGGUAAAGGCUCACCAAGGCAGCGAUCAGUAGCUGGUCUGAGAGGAUGACCAGCCACACUGGGACUGAGACACGGCCCAGACUCCUACGGGAGGCAGCAGUGGCGAAUUUUCCGCAAUGGGCGAAAGCCUGACGGAGCAAUACCGCGUGAGGGAAGAAGGCUCUUGGGUUGUAAACCUCUUUUCUUAGGGAAGAACAAAAUGACGGUACCUAAGGAAUCAGCAUCGGCUAACUCCGUG